UACGGAAGGCAGCAGUGGGGAAUAUUGGACAAUGGGCGCAAGCCUGAUCCAGCCAUGCCGCGUGUGUGAAGAAGGCCUUUUGGUUGUAAAGCACUUUAAGCGAGGAGGAGGCUCUCUUAGUUAAUACCUAAGAUGAGUGGACGUUACUCGCAGAAUAAGCACCGGCUAACUCUGUGCCAGCAGCCGCGGUAAUACAGAGGGUGCGAGCGUUAAUCGGAUUUUACUGGGCGUAAAGCGUGCGUAGGCGGCUUUUUUAAGUCGGAUGUGAAAUCCCCGAGCUUAACUUGGGAAUUGCAUUCGAUACUGGGAAGCUAGAGUAUGGGAGAGGAUGGUAGAAUUCCAGGUGUAGCGGUGAAAUGCGUAGAGAUCUGGAGGAAUACCGAUGGGCGAAGGCAGCCAUCUGGCCUAAUACUGACGCUGAGGUACGAAAGCAUGGGGAGGCAAACAGGGAUUAGAUACCCGU
Molecule: ribosomal RNA, 463 nt
Filed under: uncultured bacterium
Lineage: Bacteria
Description: bacterial SSU rRNA
Rfam family: Bacterial small subunit ribosomal RNA
Source: RNAcentral